AAAGGGAGACCUAAUUCAGGUAGGAGACGAAAAAAAGUAGUCCCUACCAAGAAUCAAUCCCAAAAGGUCGGAGCGAGGCAAAAUUGGCUUUCAAACUAGGUUCUGGGUUCACAUAAGACCUGAAUCAGGAACAAGGGCUAUUAGCUCAGGUGGUUAGAGCGCACCCCUGAUAAGGGUGAGGUCCCUGGUUCGAGUCCAGGGUGGCCCACCUGCACAGGUGGCAAAAACAAAGAAAAGAAGCUCCGAAUCAGCACCUUAUCUUACUCAUAUAGUAAGAGAGAAUGCUGGCUCUGAGUUCAGAGUCCAGAGGAACCUUGAAAACUGCAUAGAGCUAGGUGAAAAAGCCAAAAAAGAAGACCGCAAG
This 364-nucleotide transfer RNA is filed under the name uncultured Microcystis sp. RNAcentral's name for it is "partial 16S-23S ribosomal RNA intergenic spacer". The stretch from base 135 to 208 matches the Rfam family "tRNA". The record is from RNAcentral. Lineage: Bacteria; Bacillati; Cyanobacteriota; Cyanophyceae; Chroococcales; Microcystaceae.